GUGCUCAUUUCAGCAGCACAUAUGCUGAAAUUGGAAUGGUACAGAGAAGAUUAGCAUGCACAAGGAUGACAUGCAAAUUCAUGAAGCCUGGUGCCUCUGA
RNAcentral lists this small nuclear RNA (100 nucleotides) under Zalophus californianus (California sea lion). The record is from RNAcentral. Lineage: Eukaryota; Metazoa; Chordata; Mammalia; Carnivora; Otariidae. RNAcentral also lists the same sequence under 1 other name.